RNAcentral lists this ribosomal RNA (465 nucleotides) under uncultured bacterium. RNAcentral's name for it is "partial 16S ribosomal RNA". It matches the Rfam family "Bacterial small subunit ribosomal RNA", at positions 28 to 507 of the family's 1533-position model. The record is from RNAcentral.
GACGAACGCUGGCGGCGUGCUUAACACAUGCAAGUCGAACGGAAAGGCCCUGCUUGCUGGGUACUCGAGUGGCGAACGGGUGAGUAACACGUGGGUGAACCGCCCUGUACUUUGGGGUAUGCCUGGGCAACUGGGUCUAAUACCGGAUAGGAGACAUUUUUAGUGUGGUGGUUGGAAAGAUUUUUGGGUGUGGGGUGAGUUCGCGGCCUGUCUGCUUGUUUGUUGGGUAAUGGCCUACCAAGGCGGCGAAGGGUCGCUGGCCUGGGGGGGUGGACGGCCACAUAGGGACUGAGGAGCGGCCCAGACGGCCACGGGGGGCAACAGGGGGGAAGAUUGCACAAUGGGCGCAAGCCGGAUGCAGCGACCCCGCGGGGUGGAAGACCGCCUUCGGGGUGUAAACUCGUUUCGCUAGGGACGAAGCUUUUUGUGACGGUACCUAGAUAAGAAGCACCGGCUAACUACGUG